This 254-nucleotide ribosomal RNA is filed under the name uncultured bacterium. RNAcentral's name for it is "partial 16S ribosomal RNA". It matches the Rfam family "Bacterial small subunit ribosomal RNA", at positions 524 to 776 of the family's 1533-position model. The record is from RNAcentral.
CACGUAGGGGGCAAGCGUUGUCCGGAUUUAUUGGGCGUAAAGAGCUCGUAGGCGGCUUGUUGCGUCGACUGUGAAAGCCCGUGGCUUAACCGCGUGGUCUGCAGUCGAUACGGGCAGGCUAGAGUUCGGUAGGGGAGACUGGAAUUCCUGGUGUAGCGGUGAAAUGCGCAGAUAUCAGGAGGAACACCGGUGGCGAAGGCGGGUCUCUGGGCCGAUACUGACGCUGAGGAGCGAAAGCGUGGGGAGCAAACAGG